RNAcentral lists this ribosomal RNA (352 nucleotides) under uncultured bacterium. RNAcentral describes it as "bacterial SSU rRNA". It matches the Rfam family "Bacterial small subunit ribosomal RNA", at positions 8 to 351 of the family's 1533-position model. The record is from RNAcentral.
AGAGUUUGAUCCUGGCUCAGGAUGAACGCUAGCUACAGGCUUAACACAUGCAAGUCGAGGGGCAGCAUUUUAGUUUGCUUGCAAACUAAAGAUGGCGACCGGCGCACGGGUGAGUAACACGUAUCCAACCUGCCGAUAACUCGGGGAUAGCCUUUCGAAAGAAAGAUUAAUAUCCGAUAGUAUAUUAAAACCGCAUGGUUUUACUAUUAAAGAAUUUCGGUUAUCGAUGGGGAUGCGUUCCAUUAGUUUGUUGGCGGGGUAACGGCCACCAAGACUACGAUGGAUAGGGGUUCUGAGAGGAAGGUCCCCCACAUUGGAACUGAGACACGGUCCAAAACUCCUACGGGGGCAG